GACCGUGCCGACGGACGGACCCGUCUCUCUAUCGCCGGGCUUAUAACAACAGGUGCAUGGACCCGUGCGGCCCGACGAGUCGCUGGCUGCUGCUGCCUGCUGCGCAGACCGAGGACGAGGGGCUGCACUAAGACACACGCACCCGAAAGGCGCCUUCAUCCGCUCUUAUAACGCUCCAGCCAAGUGGAAGAUCUUCAUUUGAACUGUCACCCUCCAUCUUCUUCGCGUGCAGGUCUUUCCGACUAAACUGGAGGAAGAAGAAGAAGGAGGAAAAAAAAAAGGAAAAAAAAACCGCGAAUGUUUGCAGGAGUUUGGUGAAAUCCGAAAGCAAAGCAUGACGGGGGAGGAAAGCUGAGCAUGCAGCUGGGAAUCGCUCUGUGCCGUGUCUGCGGUCCGCCUGCCAACACCUUACCUGUCCGCACUUAACGCGAAGGAAAACAAAGAAGAAGAAGAAGAACAAGAGCAAGAACAAGAAGAAGAAGUACCAUUCAAAGCUUGAACGCAGCUGGACCAGGACUACGCGAGAGAACAUCUGAAGGAAACGGACUUGCUCGCCAGAAGGUCUUGCUGUAGGACGAGACAAAUGUGUGUGACAGCGCCUGUGCUCCGCAGCCUCCUGGUGGUUCUCCUGCUGGCCUUCUCCUCCUGCGAACUUGACUGACUCAUUUAAUAACCCCAAAGACAGGGACUAUUGCCCCUCUGCAAAGGGGAAGACGCCUCCUUGCCGAGCUAGCCAGAGAACCCAAGGGAAGAAGAAAGGGAAGAUUAAAAUCAUCAGGGCACUCACUCUGUGUUGGCAGAAACUUCAGACCAUCUAUGCAGUCACAAAUUAA
Molecule: long non-coding RNA, 833 nt
Organism: Lampris incognitus (smalleye Pacific opah)
Lineage: Eukaryota; Metazoa; Chordata; Actinopteri; Lampriformes; Lampridae
Exons: 4
Source: RefSeq, a predicted model, not a curated record